AUAGCUAUCUAAUUUUCGCAGUCCGACUUUUGGGUGUCUUCUCUCUUUUCUCUUCAUUAUUCCGCGCUUGCUACUGUUAACCCUAAGUCCCAUCACUCUCUGUUCACAUCUGAUUUUUCUUUCAUCAAACUCUCCCUCCGAAGGAAUUAGCAUUAUCAUCUCGGUAAGCCGUCGUCUCUGGGGUUAUAUUAACCGCCGUUCUCGUCGGAGAACAGAAUUCGCGAGUUUAAUGGCUUCUCAUUUUCUUUCGGUUUUCGAUGUUUUAUAAAACACUAUCAAUUAUUUUUGUUUUUCCUAUUUCCAAACGCCAUCAUGUUACGCUUUCAGAAUAGUCUUUUUUCGAUUUUUACCGUUUAUGGGUUUCGAUCUAGUAUAAUCAUAGAUCUCCCUCGGAUAAAUUAGAUCUCUACUUUUCUCGACACCACCUUUACCGAUCUAUUUAGAUCUCUACUUUUCUCGACACCACCUUUACAGAUCUUUUUUUUCUUUUAGCCCUUCCCGUAUACUGCUCUAUAAUUCCAGAUCUAAUCCUUUGCUAACAACUUAUUACCCUUAUUUCUUUCUGCAUGACAUGGCUGUUCUGAAACUUCCUUCUCGUUUGUUUGCUGAUAGAGAAGAGCCAGUAGGAGACCGAGUGAACUAGUAUUUUAAGCUAUAUGCGAUCAAGGUUAUCCUCAAGGCUUUGCAACCGUCGGAGCUUGAGCUUAUUUGUCCGUGCUUCGGAAAAUUACUCGAUGUUUACUCCAAACCGUCAUUCUCGGGGAAGUUGGCCCAUUUCUUGUUAACUCGGCAGCGGAGCGUUGUAGCGUACAUAUAAGUAUACAAAUGUAAAUAACGCUCUAUAUAUGUGUUUACAUAUAUAUAUAAAUGUUAAUAAAGCUCUAUGUAUGUGUUUACAUGUACAAAAAUAUUAAUAACGUUCUCUAUAUAUAUAUGUAUUGACAUGUAUACAUAGACCGAAUUAUUUAACACUAUAAUUAUUUUUAACG
Molecule: long non-coding RNA, 989 nt
Filed under: Arabidopsis lyrata
Lineage: Eukaryota; Viridiplantae; Streptophyta; Magnoliopsida; Brassicales; Brassicaceae
Description: long non-coding RNA (ALYR_LNC001648)
Source: RNAcentral